GAAUGGUGCUAGCUAGGGUGUGAGCCAAGCCCUUGAGGCUACUGUGAGUUAUGAGAUGUGUCCAACCCUCAGCCCACAGACUGCAUAUGCCCCAGGACAGCUGUGAAGGUGACCCAAUACAAAAUCGUAAACUAACUUAAAACCAUUAAGGGUUUUUGUUUUGUUGUUGUUUGCUGGCUUUUUGUUUUUUGGGUUGGUUUUCUUUUUCUUUCUUUCUUUUUUUUUUUUUUUUCCAACUCAAGUGUGAACUUUGUUGAUGACCGUGUUGUUGUCUCCGUGUCAAAGGUGUGAGAUGCACAGCUAGUUAGACUUCAAGGCUGAUUUGGUCUGCCAGCGAUGCCAGCACAUAAGGUUGGCUUAAACAACAGUUGCUCCUUACUCCCAGAUCUGGGGUGAUCUCUUGAGGUGCCUUCCUGUAGUCUCUUGUGUCAUCUUCUUCUAAGACCACUAAUAACACCGCCUUUCUCCUUGAUCCGGGCCUCAGACCUCUUCAGAGAUUCUUUCUCUGAAUGUACGUGGGGGACUCCAACAGAUGUUGGGAGAAGACUCAAUAUGAGCAUACGGGGUCAUUGUUCAAUCCUGUAUCAAGACCUUGGAGUUGUCUAAGGCUGUGGGUUUUAAAUACCUGCUGCAGGCCUCCCAUCUCUGGCUCUUUGUUUCCACUCUGGCCCAAGUUUGAGUCUCCAUAUGGGCCCUUCCUGUCCUCAUGCCCUGCCUGUCUUCAUUCCACCCAUCCACCCUCCUAAGGAUUGGUCUUGUUCCGAGAGUGAUCCUGGUAACGCCAAGCCUCCCUCUGCCCCUGUGUUGGCUUCUGUGACGGACUACCACACACCAAGAGGUUUUUCACAGUGAAGAUGUAUGCUCUCACCAUCCUACAGAUGCAAAGACCAAACACAAAGUGUCUGCAUGACCUUCCCCCUCUGGAAUUUGUCUAGAAUUAUUUUCUUCUUGCUUUUUGACAUGUCGUGAUAUGUGAUAAACUCAUAUUCCCUGGCUUUUUUGGAAACCUCUCUCCAAUCUUUACCUUUGCCUCUACUAGAUGAUCUUGCAUCUGUCUUUGUGGGACUCUUUUUAUGAGGAACCAGUCCUGUUGAAUCGGGGUGCUCUGUAUUAGUUAUUUUUGUAACUUGUGAUUGUAACCAAAUGCCCGAUAGAAACAGCAUUCUGGCUCACAGUUUCAAAGGGCUCAGUCCAUAGCUGCCUGACUCUGUGUUUCUAGGCCUUUCUUGAGGCAAGUGUUCAUCAUGAUAGUGUGAGGGUGAGGAGGAGUUUCUUCAUGGCAAACAGGAAGCAAAGAGCAAUACAGGAAAAGGUCAGGGGUGAGAUGUGUCAUUGCCACUUCCUCCAGCUAGGACCUUUGAGCAUCACAUUGUGAAGCCAUCCAGGGACUUGGGGGUUAGGUCAGAGGUAUCAAUACAUCUCCGGAAACAUCGUCACAGAUACCUAGAGGUACUUCAUUGAUCCCUUGAAAAGCAUGUCUUAAUUCUGUUAAGAUGUCAAUCAAGAUUACACAUCUCACUGCUUCACAGGCCAUCAGGGCCCCAUUCUGAGGUCCUGGGACACUACCCAAACCCUAGCACUCUCCCAGUGACUCUCCUAUGAGUACAUAUGCCAUCCUGCUUCCUUUGUGGCAAAACCCUGGGUCACCCAGAGACAGAUUUCCCAGAAUCCCUGGGCCACUUCUCAAUUCUACCCAUGACAGACAUGUCCCAUCCAUGAGCCCAGAUAGUCAAAGACUUCAGCACAAGGGUGUUUAGAGUAGGCAGUGUGGAAGUAUCAAUAAGGUUAUUGAGAUGAGGAUUUAGAAAGAUCCAUGUAUAAAAGGUCUAGAAGGAUGAAGAUCUAAAACAAGAAGACUGCAUGUUAACGCUCCUGCCACUGUUGCCCCUUCCUUUACCCUUGGCAGACAUUGCUAAUCAAUCUCAGCACAGUUUCCAACCACAGUCAUAGAACAUUUGCCACAAAGGCCCUGGAUGUGACUAUAUGUGCUGAGAAGGGAAGGUAGUUUUCCCCCAGAAAGUCCCUUCUAAUAAACAUUGAUGACUUUAGAAUCCAUGACUCAGAAUUUUCCAGAGACCCAAUCCCUCGGGGUCCACUUAGUGAUGGGACCAUACAAGAGUUUAUUUCCAAUUAGAGAAUUGGGUCAACUGGGAAAGGCUUCUUUCCUGGUAACCCUGCUACUGAUACUAUGUUGAAACAGGAAUCGACUCUAACUGCUUUUUGGCCUCUUCCCUGCACGGGAGUCUCAAAAUCAAGUUUUUACCCAGUGGCCUCUGGGAUCCACUCUCUCUACUCCUGAACUCUUAAAACGCCCCUGAUAACUAGGUUAGUGACCAAGAAGACCUUACAUGGCCCAUCUCUUCAUCUCCUGUCCCAUUGCAUCUCUUGCCCAUGUGCUGAGAAAGACUAAAAGUGCUAUCAUGCACUUAUAUUAAAUGUGCAGAUCAGCACUCCUCUCCCUGGAGCUGGCAGCCAUGGUUGAUGGCUAUGGGAUACAAUGUGGAUCUUUAGAUGUGAAAGUCUGAUGACUCAAAUCAAAGUUUGGUUUUUCUUUUCUACUACUCUGAAGGAAAAUCUCAGCUUGGCUAUUUCUUCAUGUUUUAAAAAUGUCUUGACUUCUCUCAGCAACCAACUUCAGGUGCCAGGAUAUGAGAUGCUAAGGUUCAGGGGUGGUGGAGGUGAUUCUAUCCAGUGGCCAGCAAUACCCAAAAGCAGCCAACCAUGAAAAUAGAGGUUUGUAAUGUACAGAAGGCUGGGGGAGCUUUCAGGGGUGUGGCCAGUUAUGUACAGAUGUGAAGCUGAGGUCUGAAGGAAAUGGAGGAAGUAGGAAGAUCAGACUGGUUGAAUUAGAAGUCUGUCACUCUAGGUGCUAAGUGACCUUGGACCCAGUCAGUUCUUGGAUUUCUGUUGUAGCCCAGGCUAGCCUCGAACCCUUGAUCCUCCUGUUCCUGGUAGAGAAACAGCCACUAAAUGGUGGGAUAGAAUGUGACUGCUCUAUCCCCGAUCUGGCUGAAGCUGAUGAAAAGUUCCCUUUGUCACACCCCUAAUCAGAUCUAGGGGACCCAAUGGCCCAGAAUUAUAGAGGACAGAGGAGAAGGUGGGCAUUGCAAGAUGCUGGAGCUUGGAAAGCAUGGUGGAAUUUGAUACACAUGAUCACCAAGCACCACCCGGGGAAGAAACUGGGUCACUGAGUCACUGGGUCACUCUGUUCCCUGAAGGCCCACCAACCACAUCCGCAUCCUACCUAGGGUGGAACUUUGACUGUCCUCGGGUGUCUCUGCUGUAUAUAGGCCAGUCACAAGCCCUUCUAAAAGCCUGCUCUUGUCUGCUUUUGUUUCUCCACCAUGCCCCCUGCCACCUCUUCUGACAGUGCUCAGAUUUAUCAGCCACCUGACCCACAGACCCAUAUGGACACACUAGAAAGCCCAUCCUAGGUCUUUCCAUGGUCUCUCACACCCCUGUCCCCGUCCCCUCCACCCCCCGGCAGCAUGCUUCACUCUAUGAAUGAGCCGCUGGGAUAUUGACAUGGAGAUGUGUUGAUGGAAAAAGCCUCCACACCCAACAUAACUCUCCAGAGAGAUAUUGAAAGUGAUGGGCAGAGAGUCUGACAAUGACCCAGGGGUCAUUGUGAGUCCUAGGCUGAAUCUGUAAUGGGGUCCAAAGUGCAGGAGAGACUGCAUUCACCUUGUUGGUGGGGUGGGGCUUCUUUCAUUACUUUAAGUAUCUGUAUGGGCUUGAGGCAUGGGAAACAGCACCUUGUCUAACUAUAGAACCCCCAGGUGUGGGGGUGGGGUGGGGGUGGGGGUGGUAAAUGGAUGAGGCUCACAGCUCACCUUCAGCUUGAUUCAACUCACAAUUCUCCUGCCCCUUCCUCUGGCUGACUGUGACCUCACCAACAAGUUAUUCUCGCUCUUCUGGGGCAUACUUUGGACUUUCUUCGUGUUAUGAAGCCCUUAGCAUUUGCCGUGUUGCUGGGUCCCAGGGGAUUGGCUGUAGUUAAUUAAAAGCACCUGUCUCUGUCAUCUCUGCACCCAACUGAAUCUCCCACCCUCAAGUGUACCUCUCAGGAUAUCCCCAGGCACACGAAGAUGGAAUGGAAAGCCAGUGGGUAUCUCCCACCCACUUAGAUGCUGAUGGCCUGGGACUAUAAACAGGGACAGUUGGGUCUCCUAAGGAAUAGCUUCCAGGUCCAGGAUGCUGGCAUCUCCCAGAGAGAACUCCAUCCCCUGACCACCAAGGCCUUUGUAGAAGCAGGAAUCUCUUCCUCCUGUCCCACAGCCCCCAGGUCAGAGCCAAGCGCAUCAUCUGCAGCACACAUGUCUGUCUCCACAGGCAAGCAACCUUGCCAAGGCAGGCCAGACAGGACAGCCCAGCUUCCCACUCCAGACAUGUUGUUCUUACAUCUCUGACCCAGUGAUCUUUCUAGGGGUCUGUCACAUGUCCCAACAGGUGGACAGCUCUCCAAGUCACCAACCUGAGGAAAAUAUCCCUCCUUGUAAAAAGGCUUUCUCUUUGUAAAUGAUUCUGUUGCCUUUUUCUAAACACAAAGUAUAUAUACCUAUAAAUGCUAUAUAUAUUAUAUAUGUGUAUAUACAUAAAGACUACUUCUUGUACAGCCCUCC
This 4622-nucleotide long non-coding RNA is filed under the name Mus musculus (house mouse). Its description in RNAcentral is "long non-coding RNA chr5:117769380-117774002". Lineage: Eukaryota; Metazoa; Chordata; Mammalia; Rodentia; Muridae. The record is from RNAcentral.